RNAcentral lists this ribosomal RNA (253 nucleotides) under uncultured bacterium. RNAcentral describes it as "partial 16S ribosomal RNA". It matches the Rfam family "Bacterial small subunit ribosomal RNA", at positions 524 to 776 of the family's 1533-position model. The record is from RNAcentral.
UACGUAGGUGGCAAGCGUUGUCCGGAAUUAUUGGGCGUAAAGCGCGCGCAGGCGGUCCUUUAAGUCUGAUGUGAAAGCCCACGGCUCAACCGUGGAGGGUCAUUGGAAACUGGGGGACUUGAGUACAGAAGAGGAAAGCGGAAUUCCACGUGUAGCGGUGAAAUGCGUAGAGAUGUGGAGGAACACCAGUGGCGAAGGCGGCAUCCUGGACCAAUUCUGACGCUGAGGAGCGAAAGCCAGGGGAGCAAACGGG